CCAGAUGUGGAAGCCCGGUAACGGGUGAAGCUGACUGGUACUAAUAGGCCGAGGGCUUGUCCUC
Molecule: ribosomal RNA, 64 nt
Filed under: Streptomyces sp. CG 926
Lineage: Bacteria; Bacillati; Actinomycetota; Actinomycetes; Kitasatosporales; Streptomycetaceae
Description: partial 23S ribosomal RNA
Source: RNAcentral